GAUGAAGAACGCAGCGAAAUGCGAUAAGUAAUGUGAAUUGCAGAAUUCAGUGAAUCAUCGAAUCUUUGAACGCACAUUGCGCCCCUUUGUAUUCCGAGGGGCAUGCCUGUUCGAGCGUCAUUAUAACCCCUCAAGCUCAGCUUGGUGUUGGGGCCUGCUGCACUGGCAGCCCUUAAAAUCAGUGGCGGCGCCAUCUGGCUCUAAGCGUAGUAAUUCUUCUCGCUAUGGAGUCCUGGUGGAUGCUUGCCAUCAACCCCCAAUUUUUCUAUGGUUGACCUCGGAUCAGGUAGGGAUACCCGCUGAACUUAAGCAUAUCAAUAAGCGGAGGA
This 329-nucleotide unclassified non-coding RNA is filed under the name soil metagenome. RNAcentral's name for it is "partial contains 5.8S ribosomal RNA, internal transcribed spacer 2, and large subunit ribosomal RNA". The stretch from base 1 to 120 matches the Rfam family "5.8S ribosomal RNA", at positions 35 to 154 of the family's 154-position model. The record is from RNAcentral.